Long non-coding RNA from Linepithema humile (Argentine ant), 202 nucleotides. RefSeq lists it as uncharacterized. The record is from RefSeq and is a predicted model, not a curated record. NCBI's taxonomy places the organism in Eukaryota, Metazoa, Arthropoda, Insecta, Hymenoptera, Formicidae.
GUGCAAGUAACGCGCACAUUCGUGGUUUAUGAAAGUGUUGAAUGCAGUUCUGGAUGGUUUUCGGUAGAUCGUAGUUAUGCGAAAGCCACGCGGGAGAACAAGAAGACAAUUGUGGAAUAUAGUUUAUGAUAUCAUUGAUCCAAUCAAGAUAGUGAGAAACGCGUACGUAGACGCCUGGCACACCGGCCUGGCCACAGCCGAU